CGGAGUGGACGCAUCACUGGUGUUCGGGUUGUCAUGCCAAUGGCACUGCCCGGUAGCUAAAUGCGGAAGAGAUAAGUGCUGAAAGCAUCUAAGCACGAAACUUGCCCCGAGAUGAGUUCUCCCUGACCCUUUAAGGGUCCUGAAGGAACGUUGAAGACGACGACGUUGAUAGGCCGGGUGUGUAAGCGCAGCGAUGCGUUGAGCUAACCGGUACUAAUGAACCGUGAGGCUUAACCUUACAACGCCGAAGCUGUU
This 255-nucleotide ribosomal RNA is filed under the name Escherichia coli. RNAcentral describes it as "partial 23S ribosomal RNA". It matches the Rfam family "Bacterial large subunit ribosomal RNA", at positions 2693 to 2925 of the family's 2925-position model. The record is from RNAcentral. RNAcentral also lists the same sequence under 2 other names. Lineage: Bacteria; Pseudomonadati; Pseudomonadota; Gammaproteobacteria; Enterobacterales; Enterobacteriaceae.